GGCCGUGUAGCGUAAUGGUUAACGCGCUAGUUUCCGGUGUUCAUGAUAUCGCUAAGCUAGAGAUUCCGAGUUCGAGUCUCGGCAUGGUCG
RNAcentral lists this transfer RNA (90 nucleotides) under Armillaria gallica. It matches the Rfam family "tRNA". From Rfam's summary of the family: Transfer RNA (tRNA) molecules are approximately 80 nucleotides in length. Their secondary structure includes four short double-helical elements and three loops (D, anti-codon, and T loops). Lineage: Eukaryota; Fungi; Basidiomycota; Agaricomycetes; Agaricales; Physalacriaceae. The record is from Rfam by way of RNAcentral.